AGCGAACGCUGGCGGCAGGCCUAACACAUGCAAGUCGAACGAACUCUUCGGAGUUAGUGGCGGACGGGUGAGUAACACGUGGGAACGUGCCUUUUGGUUCGGAAUAACUCAGGGAAACUUGUGCUAAUACCGAAUGUGCCCUUCGGGGGAAAGAUUUAUCGCCAUUAGAGCGGCCCGCGUCUGAUUAGCUAGUUGGUGAGGUAACGGCUCACCAAGGCGACGAUCAGUAGCUGGUCUGAGAGGAUGACCAGCCACACUGGGACUGAGACACGGACCAGACUCCUACGGGAGGCAGCGGUGGGGAAUCUUGCGCAAGGGGCGAAAGCCUGACGCAGCCAUGCCGCGUGAAUGAUGAAGGUCUUAGGAUUGUAAAAUUCUUUCACCGGGGACGAUAAUGACGGUACCCGGAGAAGAAGCCCCGGCUAACUUCGUG
RNAcentral lists this ribosomal RNA (433 nucleotides) under uncultured bacterium. Its description in RNAcentral is "partial 16S ribosomal RNA". It matches the Rfam family "Bacterial small subunit ribosomal RNA", at positions 29 to 507 of the family's 1533-position model. The record is from RNAcentral.